Molecule: long non-coding RNA, 2240 nt
Organism: Schistocerca nitens (vagrant locust)
Lineage: Eukaryota; Metazoa; Arthropoda; Insecta; Orthoptera; Acrididae
Exons: 6
Source: RefSeq, a predicted model, not a curated record
CGGCAGUAUUCGCUGCGGUUUUCCUCGUUCCUUAGUCAGUCAGCCGACGCUAGUGGUUCCGGCAGGAUCUUCAAAACACAGACGGGAUACACUUCUCGAUAACCUUGACGUCAUACUCUAAGAGCCUACUGGUUCAUGAGAGAGCUCCAUUGAGCUCGCCAUUCAGUUACCCGCUACAGUCACCCAAGAGGAAUUCCAACCGACAGUCUACACAUACCAGUCCUUCUCAGUGUGUUCUACGGUUCCCAGGAAUUGGCCAGUUAUUUGCGUUUUGGAGUUGUUAGGAGCCUAGAAGUCAAAAAGCGCACCACCAGCCGGACAAUUCGACGCCUUCCUUUCGUCACCAGUAUUAUAUCAUGUAAAGGGGAUCUGAAAGAUGUUGACCACAGAACAACGAGUCACCGCUGCAAGUUGGAGACUCCGAGGACUACCCUUUGCUGAGGUUCAAGAAUGGUUUCAUCUGCGCUACCGUAGAGAAGCCCCAACGCAAGAAACCAUUAGUGGUUAGGUCAACAAGUUCGAGUAAAGUGCAAAUGUCUGUGUCGAGAAAUAUUCCAGUCGGUCAUCGACGUUGCAGGGAGCUGUGGAGACCAUACGACAGGCUGUCGAGCAGAGACCAAAAGCAGUCGACACGUCUUUUCGGUCAGAACACGACAUCUGAAAGCCCACUGUGUGCCAAAGUUGGAUUUCAUACUGAAGAAAAAGGCUUAUCACACCCAGGUGGUCCAUCAUUUUGAACCUCAGCAAUCUUUCGUUUUGCUGUCUUCCGUUGCCAGGCCAGACUGAUCAGUGAGCGACUGGAUGGAAGCCUUCGACCCGCUUACCGAUUUUACGUAAGAUCAGAAUUUCCUUGGGUUUUCAGCAUGAUCUUUUGCUAAGGUACAAUUUAACGAUUAUGUGGAAAGCGCAGGAAGAAGAGACAAAGUCGAAAAGAAAAGAAGCACCAAGGAGGAAUUAUCCGAAUGGAACGGAAUCGUCCUGGAAUAUCUUUGACUGAAGUAGGUCUUCAGUGAUGAGUCCCACUUGGUACUGAGCCACUACGACCAGCGAAGACGUAUGUGGAGAAGACCCGUACAGCGAUGGAAUACCAACAAGACUGUUGCCCGCCAUAAGGACCAAUAAUCGGGAUUGGUCGUGUGGGUGUGGGGCGGCGGGUGGAAUUAUUGUUGUUAUAUAAAUGUUUGGUUUGUAGAAUGUAAAACCAGUUCCUGUUAUUUAGAAUGUUAUUUAUACUGUCUUUCGCCGUUCUCAACACAGGCUUUCUAACUACAAUAUUGGCAACCAGAAAGUGAUUAGCAAAACGUGAUGCCUGCAAUUAGAAUUCCUAGUGCCCACUUCAUCUGAGAAACACACUUACAGCUGCAGCUUAUAGCUCUGAGAAAUUAGGAGAUUGUCUAGGAUUCAUAAUCAAAAACGAUUUUGAUUAAAAUAGUUCAGUAUAUUCUGAAAGUCACAGAUGAAAACAAAAGAAUCCACACAAUCUAACUAACAGCAGUUCAGAGUCUAAUGCGCUAAUGCCACUAUAACUGUCCAAAUUAAAUGUUUAAAUGAAUGCUCGCCAAAAUUUGAUGAUUAAUUUCAUCAAACGCCACGCUAAAUAAUUGGUAGAAUGUCUGUCCCGCGGCGGCACGUGAAAAUACGACAAUACGCAAACUGAAGAUCGAUAAUUAAAGUCAUCCCAGAAUUAACACUUCACUCGAAAAUGAUUUCAUGGUUACGCGUAUCUCGAGCAACUUAAUACGGCAUCCGAGGCUGUUUGUAGCAAUGAUACCGACGCGACGCGACUCCCGACACAGAUGACGUGUUAUUCAGCGUCUGGAGAGAACUGGGGCCUUCCUUCCUCGUGCAGCGUUCUUAUAUAUAAAGCCGCGGUGCGGACGGCUAAGCGAACGCCUGAUCAAAUCGGCUCUCCCGACUAGCCGCUGGGCUAGUAAUGCACCACAUUAAGUUAUUGAAUAAAUCAUAGCUUCUUUUGCUGAUGGCCGAUGAAGCUCUCAAUUUAAAUGUGUAUUCAACACACAGGUAAGUAAUCAUAAUAAAAGUUUGACGUGGCUAAGUUAAAUAUUUUGGGCGAGAGAAUUAAUUUAAUUACACUGCACGCAGUAGAUGAGCUCUGAACUGCUCUUUGGAGAUACGCUAUCGCUAUAGUUUUAUAGGUAUUCAAAUGAAACUUCUCACAUCUUCAUAGUUAUAGCGGAUCUCCAAACUACUUAAAUAUAAACAUCCUAGCCUUAUUAAUA